CCUACGGGAGGCAGCAGUGGGGAAUAUUGGACAAUGGGGGCAACCCUGAUCCAGCCAUGCCGCGUGUGUGAAGAAGGCCCUCGGGUUGUAAAGCACUUUCAGUGAGGAAGAACGCCUGGUGGUUAAUACCCAUCAGGAAAGACAUCACUCACAGAAGAAGCACCGGCUAACUCCGUGCCAGCAGCCGCGGUAAUACGGAGGGUGCGAGCGUUAAUCAGAAUUACUGGGCGUAAAGCGCGCGUAGGUGGCUUGAUAAGCCGGUUGUGAAAGCCCCGGGCUCAACCUGGGAACGGCAUCCGGAACUGUCAAGCUAGAGUGCAGGAGAGGAAGGUAGAAGUCCCGGUGUAGCGGUGAAAUGCGUAGAGAUCGGGAGGAAUACCAGUGGCGAAGGCGGCCUUCUGGACUGACACUGACACUGAGGUGCGAAAGCGUGGGUAGCAAACAGGAUUAGAUACCCCGGUAGUC
This 465-nucleotide ribosomal RNA is filed under the name Vreelandella stevensii. RNAcentral describes it as "partial 16S ribosomal RNA". It matches the Rfam family "Bacterial small subunit ribosomal RNA", at positions 338 to 795 of the family's 1533-position model. The record is from RNAcentral. Lineage: Bacteria; Pseudomonadati; Pseudomonadota; Gammaproteobacteria; Oceanospirillales; Halomonadaceae.